CCCGCACAAGCGGUGGAUGAUGCGGAUUAAUUCGAUGCAACGCGAAGAACCUUACUACCCUUGACAUGUCCGGAACUUGCCAGAGAUGGCUUGGUGCCCGAAAGGGAAUCGGAACACAGGUGCUGCAUGGCUGUCGUCAGCUCGUGUCGUGAGAUGUUGGGUUAAGUCCCGCAACGAGCGCAACCCUUAUCAUUAGUUGCUACGCAAGGGCACUCUAAUGAGACUGCCGGUGACAAACCGGAGGAAGUGGGGAUGACGUCAAGUCCUCAUGGCCCUUAUGGGUAGGGCUUCACACGUCAUACAAUGGUCGGUACAGAGGGUUGCCAAGCCGCGAGGCGGAGCCAAUCCCACAAAGCCGAUCGUAGUCCGGAUUGUUCUCUGCAACUCGAGAGCAUGAAGUCGGAAUCGCUAGUAAUCGCAGGUCAGCAUACUGCGGUGAAUACGUUCCCGGGUCUU
RNAcentral lists this ribosomal RNA (456 nucleotides) under uncultured Thiobacillus sp. Its description in RNAcentral is "bacterial SSU rRNA". It matches the Rfam family "Bacterial small subunit ribosomal RNA", at positions 920 to 1382 of the family's 1533-position model. Lineage: Bacteria; Pseudomonadati; Pseudomonadota; Betaproteobacteria; Nitrosomonadales; Thiobacillaceae. The record is from RNAcentral.